Molecule: transfer RNA, 84 nt
Filed under: Cronartium comandrae C4
Lineage: Eukaryota; Fungi; Basidiomycota; Pucciniomycetes; Pucciniales; Coleosporiaceae
Description: tRNA-Und (NNN) (tRNA-Und-NNN-30-1)
Rfam family: tRNA
About the family: Transfer RNA (tRNA) molecules are approximately 80 nucleotides in length. Their secondary structure includes four short double-helical elements and three loops (D, anti-codon, and T loops).
Source: RNAcentral
GACUGGAUAGCUUAGCGGUUAAGGCAUCACAUACAAGUUGUGUGUUCCACUUAAGGGUCCUUGGUUCAAAUGCGAGUCUAGUCA